UCUAGUUACAUGCAUUAAUUGUUUGUUCUAUUAACAAGGAAUAGAGGUUAGGGUGCUUUGCGAAAAAGCUAAGGAGGUUUUAAUGGAAGAAAGCAAUGUUCAGGCCAACUGUUCAAUCUGUUCAAAGCUCACAAAGAUCCUAGACAAAAUCCAAUUGCUUAUUCCUGUAAUAGAUUGAGAAAGACAAGCUACUUCUUCAUUAUUGUGGUAGUAAU
Long non-coding RNA from Zingiber officinale, 215 nucleotides. RefSeq lists it as uncharacterized. The record is from RefSeq and is a predicted model, not a curated record. Lineage: Eukaryota; Viridiplantae; Streptophyta; Magnoliopsida; Zingiberales; Zingiberaceae. The transcript is spliced from 3 exons.